CACUCAUCCAGAGCAGCAGAGGGAUUGGCCCAAGGAAGCUGCAGCAACCAUUCCGAUGGAACCGGUGCUAAUUCCAACAGCGCAAGCUGGCAGAUGAGAG
Molecule: regulatory RNA element, 100 nt
Organism: Dialister sp. CAG:486
Lineage: Bacteria; Bacillati; Bacillota; Negativicutes; Veillonellales; Veillonellaceae
Rfam family: SAM riboswitch aptamer (S box leader)
About the family: The SAM riboswitch is found upstream of a number of genes which code for proteins involved in methionine or cysteine biosynthesis in Gram-positive bacteria. The SAM riboswitch acts at the level of transcription termination control.
Source: Rfam